Molecule: ribosomal RNA, 505 nt
Filed under: uncultured bacterium
Lineage: Bacteria
Description: bacterial SSU rRNA
Rfam family: Bacterial small subunit ribosomal RNA
Source: RNAcentral
AUUGAACGCUGGCGGUAUGCUUUACACAUGCAAGUCGAACGGUAACAGGUCUUCGGAUGCUGACGAGUGGCGAACGGGUGAGUAAUGUAUCGGAACGUGCCUAGUAAUGGGGGAUAACCACUCGAAAGAGUGACUAAUACCGCAUAAUAUCUCAGGAUGAAAGCGGGGGAUCGUAAGGCCUCGCGUUAUUAGAGCGGCCGAUAUCAGAUUAGGUAGUUGGUGGGAUAAAAGCCUACCAAGCCAACGAUCUGUAGCUGGUCUGAGAGGACGACCAGCCACACUGGGACUGAGACACGGCCCAGACUCCUACGGGAGGCAGCAGUGGGGAAUUUUGGACAAUGGGCGAAAGCCUGAUCCAGCAAUACCGCGUGCAGGACGAAGGCCUUCGGUUGUAAACUGCUUUGUACGGAACGAAACGGUUCAGAUUAAUACUCUGAACUAAUGACGGUACCGUAAGAAUAAGCACCGGCUAACUACGUGCCAGCAGCCGCGGUAAUCAUACUCG